UACGAAGGUCCCAAGCGUUGUUCGGAUUUACUGGGCGUAAAGAGUCUGUAGGCGGUGGGGUAAGUCAGAUGUGAAAUCCCGGGGCUCAACCCCGGAACUGCAUCCGAUACUGCCUCACUUGAGGGUUGGAGGGGAGUCUGGAAUUCUCGGUGUAGCAGUGAAAUGCGUAGAUAUCGAGAGGAACACUAGUGGCGAAGGCGAGACUCUGGACAACACCUGACGCUGAGAGACGAAGGCCAGGGGAGCGAAAAGG
RNAcentral lists this ribosomal RNA (253 nucleotides) under uncultured bacterium. RNAcentral's name for it is "partial 16S ribosomal RNA". It matches the Rfam family "Bacterial small subunit ribosomal RNA", at positions 524 to 776 of the family's 1533-position model. The record is from RNAcentral.